GCCCGAUGAACCUGAAUAUCCGUUAUGGAAAAUUCAUCAUUAGAAUUGUGAUAUUUAAACAAUAUUAUAAUAAUAGUGUGCAUUUUUUCCAUAUAAGGACAUUGUAAUCUAUUAGCAUAUUAAAUUUAUCAUACAAUUAUUUCAUUUUGUUUAUUUCAAUUAAGGUGCUUGCAUUUUAACAUGAAAUUAAAAGGAAUAACUUUGAUAAAGUGCUGAUAGAUUUAUAAGAUUACGGUGCGUUAAUUUUUCGGAAUUAUAUAAUGGCAUGAUUAUCAUUGAUUUUUAUGUUUAUUAUAUGCACUUGUAUGAUUAACAAUGCGAAAGAUUCAGGAUACUUCGGG
This 341-nucleotide ribosomal RNA is filed under the name Drosophila repleta. RNAcentral describes it as "eukaryotic LSU rRNA". The record is from RNAcentral. Lineage: Eukaryota; Metazoa; Arthropoda; Insecta; Diptera; Drosophilidae.